This 207-nucleotide ribosomal RNA is filed under the name uncultured bacterium. Its description in RNAcentral is "partial 16S ribosomal RNA". It matches the Rfam family "Bacterial small subunit ribosomal RNA", at positions 568 to 774 of the family's 1533-position model. The record is from RNAcentral.
UGCGUAGGUGGUGCCGUAAGUUGGAUGUGAAACCCCGGAGCUCAACUCCGGAACUGCAUUCAAUACUGCGGUGCUAGAGUACUGGAGAGGAGAUUGGAAUUCACGGUGUAGCAGUGAAAUGCGUAGAUAUCGUGAGGAAGACCAGUGGCGAAGGCGGAUCUCUGGACAGUUACUGACACUGAGGCACGAAGGCCAGGGGAGCAAACG